UACGAAGGGUGCAAGCGUUACUCGGCAUUACUGGGCGUAAAGCGUGCGUAGGUGGUUCGUUAAGUCUGAUGUGAAAGCCCUGGGCUCAACCUGGGAAUGGCAUUGGAUACUGGCGACCUGGAGUGCGGUAGAGGGGUGUGGAAUUCCCGGUGUAGCAGUGAAAUGCGUAGAUAUCGGGAGGAACAUCUGUGGCGAAGGCGACACCCUGGACCAGCACUGACACUGAGGCACGAAAGCGUGGGGAGCAAACAGG
RNAcentral lists this ribosomal RNA (253 nucleotides) under uncultured bacterium. Its description in RNAcentral is "partial 16S ribosomal RNA". It matches the Rfam family "Bacterial small subunit ribosomal RNA", at positions 524 to 776 of the family's 1533-position model. The record is from RNAcentral.